This 97-nucleotide signal recognition particle RNA is filed under the name Clostridia bacterium. Its description in RNAcentral is "signal recognition particle sRNA small type". It matches the Rfam family "Bacterial small signal recognition particle RNA". Rfam says of the family: The signal recognition particle (SRP) is a universally conserved ribonucleoprotein involved in the co-translational targeting of proteins to membranes. Archaeal SRP consists of a 7S RNA and homologues of the eukaryotic SRP19 and SRP54 proteins. Lineage: Bacteria; Bacillati; Bacillota; Clostridia. The record is from RNAcentral.
UAUGGAGAACAACUCUGAUAAAAAGCUAUGAACCUUGUCAGGUCGGAAACGAAGCAGCAAUAAGUAGUGGAUUAUGUGGAAGUUGUUUUCCAUAGAG